Molecule: ribosomal RNA, 214 nt
Filed under: uncultured bacterium
Lineage: Bacteria
Description: partial 16S ribosomal RNA
Rfam family: Bacterial small subunit ribosomal RNA
Source: RNAcentral
UACGUAGGGCGCAAGCGUUGUCCGGAAUUAUUGGGCGUAAAGAGCUCGUAGGCGGUCUGUUACGUCCGCUGUGAAAACCCAGGGCUUAACCCUGGGCUUGCAGUGGAUACGGGUAGACUAGAGGCAGGUAGGGGAGAAUGGAAUUCCCGGUGUAGCGGUGAAAUGCGCAGAUAUCAGGAGGAACGAGCCGAGUGGCGAAGGCGGUCUCCUGGGC